Syzygium oleosum is the source of this 554-nucleotide long non-coding RNA. RefSeq lists it as uncharacterized. The transcript has 2 exons. The record is from RefSeq and is a predicted model, not a curated record. Lineage: Eukaryota; Viridiplantae; Streptophyta; Magnoliopsida; Myrtales; Myrtaceae.
UUUUUUUGUGUACUUAUUGAGCAUAAUAAUUUGUUUGAGUUGUUAAGUAUUAGUCCUCACUUCUGAGUAUGGCCAUUCUGGUUAGAAAAAGGGUCUGACAUAAAGGUUAUAAGCUGAACUCUUCGAAGCUUUAAGAUGUCCCAAUUCAAAAUUAUUCACUUAAGUUUGGCCUAAAUGUCAAAACCUGAAGCCAAACCCACCUCAAGCACACACAUGCCCAUCUAAAGGAAUUCUAGCAUAACCCCUUUACCCGGAAAAGGGGAAGUUAUGAUACUGUCCACUUUACCUUGGCUAAACUACCGGACACACUUUCUGCAAAAAUUUUCGGAGCUGAAAAUGAGAAGGGGUUUUGGGAAAAUUGAAGGACUUCUUUAAGACCAGAUGCACUUCUAAUAAUUGGAAGUUUGGAGCCUCUAGACUUUCUGUAUUUGUUUCCCUUCUUAAUAUGAUUGAUUAGACACUUAGCAACAUCUUCCUUCUAAUAAUUGGGAUGAAUUUACACUGCAAGGCACAUAGAAGCGAGUUGAACUAUUUUUGCAGGAGGGAAUUUGUUU